UGGGGAAUCUUGCGCAAUGGACGAAAGUCUGACGCAGCCACGCCGCGUGAGUGAAGAAGGCCUUCGGGUUGUAAAGCUCUGUCGCCCGGGACGAAAAAUAGUUAGGUGAAUAGCCUAAUUAUCUGACGGUACCGGGAGAGGAAGCACCGGCUAACUCCGUGCCAGCAGCCGCGGUAAUACGGAGGGUGCAAGCGUUGCUCGGAAUUAUUGGGCGUAAAGGGUAGGUAGGUGGUCUCAUUUGUCUGGGGUGAAAGCCUUGAGCUUAACUCAAGAAGUGCCCCAGAAACGGUGAGACUAGAGUCCUGGAGAGGGUCGUGGAAUUCCCGGUGUAGCGGUGAAAUGCGUAGAGAUCGGGAGGAACACCAGAGGCGAAGGCGGCGACCUGGACAGGCACUGACACUCAACUACGAAAGCGUGGGGAGCAAACAGGAUUAGAUACCCGCGUAGUCC
This 450-nucleotide ribosomal RNA is filed under the name uncultured bacterium. RNAcentral describes it as "bacterial SSU rRNA". It matches the Rfam family "Bacterial small subunit ribosomal RNA", at positions 355 to 796 of the family's 1533-position model. The record is from RNAcentral.